AUACGUAGGGGGCGAGCGUUGUCCGGAAUGAUUGGGCGUAAAGGGCGCGUAGGCGGCCCGGUAAGUCUGGAGUGAAAGUCCUGUUUUUAAGAUGGGAAUUGCUUUGGAUACUGUCGGGCUUGAGUGCAGGAGAGGUAAGUGGAAUUCCCAGUGUAGCGGUGAAAUGCGUAGAGAUUGGGAGGAACACCAGUGGCGAAGGCGACUUACUGGACUGUAACUGACGCUGAGGCGCGAAAGUGUGGGGAGCAAACAGGAUUAGAUACCCUGGUAGUCCACGCUGUAAACGAUGAAUACUAGGUGUGGGGGGACUGACCCCCUCCGUGCCGCAGUUAACACAAUAAGUAUUCCACCUGGGGAGUACGAUCGCAAGAUUGAAACUCAAAGGAAUUGACGGGG
Molecule: ribosomal RNA, 396 nt
Filed under: uncultured bacterium
Lineage: Bacteria
Description: partial 16S ribosomal RNA
Rfam family: Bacterial small subunit ribosomal RNA
Source: RNAcentral